This 1876-nucleotide ribosomal RNA is filed under the name Listeria monocytogenes. RNAcentral describes it as "partial 23S ribosomal RNA". It matches the Rfam family "Bacterial large subunit ribosomal RNA", at positions 989 to 2861 of the family's 2925-position model. The record is from RNAcentral. Lineage: Bacteria; Bacillati; Bacillota; Bacilli; Caryophanales; Listeriaceae.
CUGCGAGUGAUAAGAUCCGUAGUCGAAAGGGAAACAGCCCAGACCACCAGUUAAGGUCCCCAAAUAUAUGUUAAGUGGAAAAGGAUGUGGGGUUGCUUAGACAACCAGGAUGUUGGCUUAGAAGCAGCCACCAUUGAAAGAGUGCGUAAUAGCUCACUGGUCGAGUGACCCCGCGCCGAAAAUGUACCGGGGCUAAACAUAUUACCGAAACUGUGGAUGAACCUCUUUAGAGGUUCGUGGUAGGAGAGCGUUCUAAGGGCGGUGAAGUCAGACCGGAAGGACUGGUGGAGCGCUUAGAAGUGAGAAUGCCGGUAUGAGUAGCGAAAGAAGGGUGAGAAUCCCUUCCACCGAAUAUCUAAGGUUUCCUGAGGAAGGCUCGUCCGCUCAGGGUUAGUCGGGACCUAAGCCGAGGCCGAUAGGCGUAGGCGAUGGACAACAGGUAGAGAUUCCUGUACCAGUGCUAAUUGUUUAACCGAUGGGGUGACACAGAAGGAUAGGGAAUCGCACGAAUGGAAAUGUGCGUCCAAGCAGUGAGUGUGAGAAGUAGGCAAAUCCGCUUCUCGCGAAGCAUGAGCUGUGAUGGGGAAGGAAAUUAAGUACGGAAGUUCCUGAUUUCACGCUGUCAAGAAAAGCCUCUAGGAAGAGUAGUACUGCCCGUACCGCAAACCGACACAGGUAGAUGAGGAGAGAAUCCUAAGGUGAGCGAGAGAACUCUCGUUAAGGAACUCGGCAAAAUGACCCCGUAACUUCGGGAGAAGGGGUGCUCUAUUAGGGUGCAAGCCCGAGAGAGCCGCAGUGAAUAGGCCCAGGCGACUGUUUAGCAAAAACACAGGUCUCUGCAAAACCGUAAGGUGACGUAUAGGGGCUGACGCCUGCCCGGUGCUGGAAGGUUAAGAGGAGUGCUUAGCUUCGGCGAAGGUACGAAUUGAAGCCCCAGUAAACGGCGGCCGUAACUAUAACGGUCCUAAGGUAGCGAAAUUCCUUGUCGGGUAAGUUCCGACCCGCACGAAAGGCGCAACGAUCUGGGCACUGUCUCAACGAGAGACUCGGUGAAAUUAUAGUACCUGUGAAGAUGCAGGUUACCCGCGACAGGACGGAAAGACCCCGUGGAGCUUUACUGCAACCUGAUAUGGAAUGUUUGUACCGCUUGUACAGGAUAGGUAGGAGCCGAAGAGACGUGUGCGCUAGCAUACGAGGAGGCAAUGGUGGGAUACUACCCUGGCUGUAUGACCAUUCUAACCCGCCACGCUUAGCGCGUGGGGAGACAGUGUCAGGUGGGCAGUUUGACUGGGGCGGUCGCCUCCUAAAGAGUAACGGAGGCGCCCAAAGGUUCCCUCAGAAUGGAUGGAAAUCAUUCGCAGAGUGUAAAGGCACAAGGGAGCUUGACUGCGAGACUGACAAGUCGAGCAGGGACGAAAGUCGGGCUUAGUGAUCCGGUGGUUCCGCAUGGAAGGGCCAUCGCUCAACGGAUAAAAGCUACCCCGGGGAUAACAGGCUUAUCUCCCCCAAGAGUCCACAUCGACGGGGAGGUUUGGCACCUCGAUGUCGGCUCGUCGCAUCCUGGGGCUGUAGUCGGUCCCAAGGGUUGGGCUGUUCGCCCAUUAAAGCGGCACGCGAGCUGGGUUCAGAACGUCGUGAGACAGUUCGGUCCCUAUCCGUCGCGGGCGCAGGAAAUUUGAGAGGAGCUGUCCUUAGUACGAGAGGACCGGGAUGGACACACCGCUGGUGUACCAGUUGUUCCGCCAGGAGCAUCGCUGGGUAGCUAUGUGUGGCAGGGAUAAACGCUGAAAGCAUCUAAGCGUGAAGCCCCCCUCAAGAUGAGAUUUCCCAUUUCUUCGGAAAGUAAGAUCCCUGAAAGAUGAUCAGGUAGAUAGGU